AUUGAACGCUGGCGGAAUGCUUUACACAUGCAAGUCGAACGGCAGCACGGACUUCGGUCUGGUGGCGAGUGGCGAACGGGUGAGUAAUGUAUCGGAACGUGCCCAGUCGUGGGGGAUAACGUAGUGAAAAUUACGCUAAUACCGCAUACGAUCUAUGGAUGAAAGCGGGGGAUCGCAAGACCCCGCGCGAUUGGAGCGGCCGAUAUCAGAUUAGGUAGUUGGUGGGGUAAAGGCCCACCAAGCCAACGAUCUGUAGCUGGUCUGAGAGGACGACCAGACACACUGGAACUGAGACACGGUCCAGACUCCUACGGGAGGCAGCAGUGGGGAAUUUUGGACAAUGGGCGAAAGCCUGAUCCAGCCAUUCCGCGUGCAGGAUGAAGGCCCUCGGGUUGUAGACUGCUUUUGUACAGAACGAAAAGGUUUCUACUAAUACUAGGAGCUCAUGACGGUACUGUAAGAAUAAGCACCGGCUAACUACGUGCCAGCAGCCGCCGUAA
Molecule: ribosomal RNA, 500 nt
Filed under: uncultured bacterium
Lineage: Bacteria
Description: partial 16S ribosomal RNA
Rfam family: Bacterial small subunit ribosomal RNA
Source: RNAcentral